This 203-nucleotide ribosomal RNA is filed under the name uncultured bacterium. Its description in RNAcentral is "partial 16S ribosomal RNA". It matches the Rfam family "Bacterial small subunit ribosomal RNA", at positions 524 to 721 of the family's 1533-position model. The record is from RNAcentral.
UACGUAGGGUGCAAGCGUUGUCCGGAAUUAUUGGGCGUAAAGAGCUCGUAGGCGGUCUGUCGCGUCGGCUGUGAAAACUCGGGGCUCAACCCCGAGCCUGCAGUCGAUACGGGCAGACUAGAGUGCUGUAGGGGAGACUGGAAUUCCUGGUGUAGCGGUGAAAUGCGCGAGAUAUCAGGGAGGGAACACCCGGUGGGCGAAAG